CCUACGGGCGGCAGCAGUGGGGAAUAUUGGGCAAUGGGCGCAAGCCUGACCCAGCAACGCCGCGUGAAGGAAGAAGGCUUUCGGGUUGUAAACUUCUUUUCUCAGGGACGAAGCAAGUGACGGUACCUGAGGAAUAAGCCACGACUAACUACGUGCCAGCAGCCGCGGUAAUACGUAGGUGGCAAGCGUUAUCAGGAUAUACUGGGGGUAAAGGGCGUGUAGGCGGGACUGCAAGUCAGAUGUGAAAACAACGGGCUCAACCUGUGGCCUGCAUUUGAAACUGUAGUACUUGAGUACUGGAGAGGCAGACGGAAUUCCUAGUGUAGCGGUGAAAUGCGUAGAUAUUAGGAGGAACACCAGUGGCGAAGGCGGGCUGCUGGACAGCAACUGACGCUGAGGCGCGAAAGCGUGGGGAGCAAACAGGAUUAGAUACCCCUGUAGUC
Molecule: ribosomal RNA, 443 nt
Filed under: uncultured bacterium
Lineage: Bacteria
Description: partial 16S ribosomal RNA
Rfam family: Bacterial small subunit ribosomal RNA
Source: RNAcentral